RNAcentral lists this small nucleolar RNA (146 nucleotides) under Homo sapiens (human). RNAcentral describes it as "snoRNA-U90-related". Lineage: Eukaryota; Metazoa; Chordata; Mammalia; Primates; Hominidae. The record is from RNAcentral.
UAAUAUAUAUUUUAUAUAUAUUAUAUAUAAUGUGUAUAUAUAUUAUAUAUAUAAUGUGUAUAUAUAUUAUAUAUAUAAUGUGUAUAUAUAUUAUAUAUAUAAUGUGUAUAUAUAUUAUAUAUAUAAUGUGUAUAUAUAUUAUAUAU